This 492-nucleotide ribosomal RNA is filed under the name uncultured bacterium. RNAcentral's name for it is "partial 16S ribosomal RNA". It matches the Rfam family "Bacterial small subunit ribosomal RNA", at positions 29 to 507 of the family's 1533-position model. The record is from RNAcentral.
AGUGAACGCUGGCGGUAGGCCUAACACAUGCAAGUCGAACGGCAGCACAGUAAGAGCUUGCUCUUACGGGUGGCGAGUGGCGGACGGGUGAGGAAUACAUCGGAAUCUACUUUUUCGUGGGGGAUAACGUAGGGAAACUUACGCUAAUACCGCAUACGACCUACGGGUGAAAGCAGGGGAUCUUCGGACCUUACGCGAUUGAAUGAGCCGAUGUCGGAUUAGCUAGUUGGCGGGGUAAAGGCCCACCAAGGCGACGAUCCGUAGCUGGUCUGAGAGGAUGAUCGGCCACACUGGAACUGAGACACGGUCCAGACUCCUACGGGAGGCAGCAGUGGGGAAUAUCGGACAAUGGGCGCAAGCCUGAUCCAGCCAUACCGCGUGGGUGAAGAAGGCCUUCGGGUUGUAAAGCCCUUUUGUUGGGAAAGAAAAGCAGCAGGUUAAUACCCCGCUGUUCUGACGGUACCCAAAGAAUAAGCACCGGCUAACUUCGUG